This 423-nucleotide ribosomal RNA is filed under the name Triticum aestivum (bread wheat). Its description in RNAcentral is "partial small subunit ribosomal RNA". The record is from RNAcentral. Lineage: Eukaryota; Viridiplantae; Streptophyta; Magnoliopsida; Poales; Poaceae.
AUGAUGGCAUGGAGAGCUAAAAAGGUAGCAAAGGAAAUUGUCCUAGGGGAUCAUAAGAAGCAGUACCAUAGGUUGUCUGAUUACAUUGAAACAGUUAAAUUAUGCAAUCCAGGAUCUAGAUGCAUUGUCACAACUGUCACUCCUAAAAGCACAAAUGAAAACCCACAUCCAGGUCCUAGGUUCCAUGGUCUUUUCUUUUGUCUCAAUGCACCUAGGGAGGGUUUUCUAAAUGGAUGUAGGCCUUUCAUUGGUUUGGAUGGAUGCUUCAUAAAGCUUACAACUGGAGCACAAAUCCUAGCAGCUACUGGUAGGGAUGCCAACAACAACAUGUAUCCCAUUGCUUUUGGAAUUGUAGGAGUGGAGGACACACCCAGUUGGAGCUGGUUUCUCACCCAACUUAAGUAUGCUCUGGGAGGCACAUAA